Caenorhabditis elegans is the source of this 132-nucleotide non-coding RNA. The record is from Ensembl. NCBI's taxonomy places the organism in Eukaryota, Metazoa, Nematoda, Chromadorea, Rhabditida, Rhabditidae.
AGUGGAUUGGAUAAGUCAGUGAAGAGAUUGUGUGAGUUCUAAUGUCAGCGGAGGUCUACGAAUGUAAAGUCGUUUGUGCAAAGGUCAGUGAAGUGAAGACUCUUCACCAAAAUUCACCCACUUUUAUUGAGC